This 21-nucleotide microRNA is filed under the name Alligator mississippiensis (American alligator). Its description in RNAcentral is "ami-miR-1677b-5p". Lineage: Eukaryota; Metazoa; Chordata; Crocodylia; Alligatoridae. The record is from miRBase by way of RNAcentral.
UCCAGAGCCCGUUGAAGUCAG